Numida meleagris (helmeted guineafowl) is the source of this 563-nucleotide long non-coding RNA. RefSeq lists it as uncharacterized. The transcript is spliced from 3 exons. NCBI's taxonomy places the organism in Eukaryota, Metazoa, Chordata, Aves, Galliformes, Numididae. The record is from RefSeq and is a predicted model, not a curated record.
AAAAAGACUUCCUCCUCACUAAAAGGGAGGGGAGGAAAGAGAGAACAUACAACGAAGAACAAAUAUCUCCCUGUCCUUAUUUUCAAAGUGCAGCACAAGAAGAUUAGAAAUUCGUCGGUACUCAGAGAAGCCCAGCCUAAGAGAAGCUUUGGGUGCAGCAUCCUUGCUCAUGUCCUCAGAAUGGCUGCCGAUCCCAUUCACAAGGCCAUUGACCCCAGCUGGAGCUUCUGCUUCACCUGUUUGGACACAUGACCAAGUUUAACUCUAACACCUUUUAACUGUCUAAUCAUCUGAGCCACUAGGAAGUGUUGCACGGACCAAUUAGGCAAGUGGAGCCCACAAGGAGGCUAAAGAGAGCUAAGAUUCCUAGACCUGGUGAGAAGAAAAAUAGGUGGGAGACUGAAGAAAAGCAUAUACACAAACAAGACUCACCCGUGGAUUUGUCGGUGCAACAUAACAUGCUAGAAAGACCAGUUUGUAGGACAGCUCUCUGACUCCAAGGGCACGAAGUCCCCGGAUUCCUUCGGUUUCGUAGCCCUCCGUCCCACUAACCCGUGAGCCAG